This 4061-nucleotide long non-coding RNA is filed under the name Homo sapiens (human). RNAcentral's name for it is "non-protein coding lnc-GLDC-6:1". The record is from RNAcentral. Lineage: Eukaryota; Metazoa; Chordata; Mammalia; Primates; Hominidae.
AAUCAGAGCCAGCCAGCGCAGGCUUGCACCGCGCAGCAAAGGGGGAGCCCAGCAUCAAGUCCACGCGGAAAGCAUCUGAAUCCCGGCUGCUGGCUUUACUGGCGGAGCACAGAGGAAAACCCCAAGCUCCUGCCUACAGCCCCGGCCUGUCUGGCUCCCUCCUCCACGUCCCCACUCCACGCCACGUUCUGUGCCUGGCAGUCCACGCGCCCUAAUCCAACUCGCAUUUAUUUAAGCACCCGCCGUCUACACCGCAUCAUGGUUCCUCCAGGCACUGCAGGAAGAAAUGGCCCCAUGCCGGGGGAAAGAAACACCAAAAGGACAGCCGCGAGGGCUGAAGACGACCCCGAAUGACGGGAUGACUGCCUGCAACGGGUGGUCAGGAGAGGAGCUCCCACCCUCACCCCGCGGGUCGUGACACUCCCAGGGAAGGGAGGGCCCCGAGGGGUGCACCAGGCCCGGCCUUCCUGGAGUCCGCCACAGCCGACUGGCGGCGUUAAGAGGUCCGCAUCCCAGGACCGCCCGAGCGCUCCUCUGCCCCAAGGAGGCGACCCCGACUCCGGAUCCCGGGAAAACGGCGAGCGCGGGUACCGAACCUCGGUAAGGGCCGGAGCGGGCUGUCACCGGCCCCCGCAUCCCUCCCCUGCGGCCGCGGCCGGCCGCUCCCUCCCCAGCUUGACAGUCGCUGCAGUCACGGACGGAGCGUCUCUGCCCCAGCGUCGCCGCUCGCCCGGACGCCCGCACCCCCGUGCCCCACGCGGAGGGGGGCAGUGCCGGGAAGACCUCUCCGGACCCUCCCCCCGCCCUGGCCCCCAGACUCCGGAAAAGCGGUUACCUGGCGCGCGGGUUGGGGCGAGAGCACGACUCGGUGGAGGAGGAAGAGAAGACAGUGGCCUCCGGCCCAGGGAGAUUUGGGAAAUUUGGGAGACUUGUUCCGCACUAGGUGACAGCUGUUCGCUGCGCACGCGCACAGGACCCCGGCCGCCCGAUCACUGCGCCGCGCCUCACCCUCCCGUCGAGGGGGUGGGUGGGAGGCAGCGGCGAAGGCGCGCGCACCGCCGGCUCUCCCUGCGCGAGGGCGCGCGCGCCGUCACGUGACCGCUGGGGCCCGCACUUGGUGAGUCACGUGGGCUUACAAACAGCUUAAAGGUGCCCGGCACGCUCUUGCUUUGGGCUCAACUUCCGCGCUGUGGUUAACUUAGGCUUGCUGGCGCGCAUCUUCUUGUCCUUUGGACACAGGCAUAUCCCAUUCUUUCCGGAGGGGAAAGAUACUCGCGUAGAAGGAGAAAACAGGUGCACAGAACCUUGCCCGGAAGCGCUGGCUGGGGUCCCGCAGGGCUGGACCUGAUGUAGUCCACGCGCCACACGUCCUCCUGGGCGCCGACGCGCACCUAUGGCGGCCUCCGACGCGCGGACGUCAGCGUGGCGUUACCGGGGUGGAGCCUCGGAAUGUACUGGAGAGCCUGGCGAGAAAGUCGGGGCUCGCAGCUCUCCGGCGAUGACAGCGCUGUGUUCCCGUUCUCCCUUCACCCGGUGGCCGGGACCACUGAGCCUCCUUCCCACAAUGGGAGAUCCCGAAUAGGCGAAGAGUAUCUUCGUGUCCCAACCCUUUAACAACUACCGCGCAGGAGCGUGUCAGCCUCUGGAAGCAAAACUGUCCGGUGUUGAGUCACCUACACCCAGCACGUCCCGCCCCGACCCGCCCAAGUGUGCUCUUAAGAUAGGGAGGCACAAAGGUGACCCCAAUAGGAAUCCUGGGCUGGCGGUCCCUCAGAAACUAGAGUUGAUAACAGUUUGGCCAGAACUGAAGUGACUAGAAAUGCAGGUGCCUCCAGCGUCUGAGACUAGAUAAGUUAACUUCCUACAACUUGUUGCUUUUCCUCUGUAACUCCGCCUUCCGAGGUGUCAGAAGGAACCAACCAGACCUUAAGCCCCUGUACUGCCAAAGACAGAUGGUUGAGCAUCAGAUGUUUUGCAAAGCUGAAUGAUUUUUUUUUUAAACUUCCUACAGAGCUCCCAGCUGGGUCCCUUGUGGCGUUUUCUCUAACGUCUUAGCUAAGAAAGAUUGGGCAUAUCUUCACACCAGUGAGCAAAGUUGGGCUAAUAUGCUGAAUUUUCUGUUACAUUAUACUGAUAACAGAAUUUUAAAAAUAUAUCGACACCGCUUACCACGCGCUUGAACUCGUUUCUCACUGGGGUGAACAUUGUGAGGACAGAUGGAAUGUGAUUAAUUGAGCUAAGGCUAACGGGAUUAUUGGGUCACCAUAUUUCUUUAGUUGUUAAAAACAAAGUUCCGCUACACACACAGACACACUCUUUUUUGAGACGGAGUCUUGCUGUGUCGCCCAGUUUGGAGUGCAAUGGCGCUAUCUCGGCUUACUGCAACCUCCGCCUCACGGGUUCGAGAGAUUCUCCUGCCUCAGCCUCCCGAGUAGCUGGGAUUACAGUCGCCCGCCACCACGCCCAGCUAAUUUUUGUAUUUUCAGUAGAGACAGGGUUUCGCCAUGUUGGCCAGGCUGGUCACAAACUCCUGACCUCAGGUGAUCCGCCCGCCUCGGCCUCCCAAAGUGCUGGGAUUACAGGCGUGAGCCACUUCACCCGGCCACACACAAUUCUGAACUUGGCUAACGUAUACUCAACUGGGAAUUUUCCAAAUGUGUGCAUGUAACGUCAGGAUCCCAACCAUCCUUACAAGUAAAUUGGAUAUGCUAAAAUAAUAAAUAUGCAACCUAACACUUACUUAGAACAGUAAUGUGAGCUACACACUGUCUUCAGAGCUUCACAUGUAUUAAUAAAUACUUAUAAUAAUUCAAUGAAUAGGUACUAUUAAUACCUCAUUGUUACAGAUGUGGAAACUGAAGCAUAGCGGUUAAGAAAUAUGUCCACAAUCAAGCAGCUAGGGUCUUUUGGAAGCCAUAUGCUAUAUUAGAAAUCUUGUGCACCAGAAUAAAAAAUCUGGAAACCUGAAAUCCAUUUUCUUCAGAAUUUGCAGAUGCACAAAUAACAUUUCUUUACCAUUGUGAAUUAGAGUAUGACUUUUUUUUAACCUGAAGAACUGAAGUGGAUAUACGAACCUUGCUAACUUCACUGAGCACUUUUUAAUUUUAAGGAAGAUAAUGUAAAAUGUCAAAACACUUCAAAAGCUGUAAAGCACUAUGUGAAUCCAUUAAGUGCUUCACAGUCUUGGAAAGUGAAGAGAGCCUACUAGAAAAUCAACUGGACUCAUGGCACUGAGGGCAGUCUUGUGUCCCUAAUGUAUCAAAAUACCUCCAUAUUAUGAAUUAUCGUGAAAACAUUUUAGCCAUAUAGUAAAUUUUUUAUUUAGAUUCAAUUGUUUAAAUCCCAAUUGCAAUAUAUUAAUGGAAGGCUGUAUGAACAAUACAUAGAUUCCCCUUGAAGUUUAUAUGUAAUGUGAACUAACGAACAGAUCAUCAGAUCACCUCAGAGACAAUACUUGUUUUUAUUUUAUUUUAUUUAUUUGUUUGUUUUUUGAGACAGAGUCUUACUCUGUUGCCCAGGCUGGAGUGCAGUGGCGCCAUAUCGGCUCACUGCAGCCUUGACCUCCCGGGUUCAAGCAAUUCUCGUGCCUUGUGCCUCAUUCUCCUGAGCAGCUGGCAUUACAGGCAUGUGCCAUAAUGCCCAGCUAAUUUUUGCAUUUUUUUAUAAUUGAGACAGAGUCUCACUCUGUUGCCCAGGCUGGAGUGCAGUGGCGCGAUCUCAGCUCACUGCAACCUCCGCCUCCUGGGUUCACGGCAUUCUGCUGCCUCAGCCUCCCAAGUAGCUGGGACUACAGGCGCGUGCUACCACACCUAGCUAAUUUUUUGUAUUUUAAGUGGAGACGGGGUUUCACCGUGUUAGCCAGGAUAGUCUUGAUCUCCUGACCUUGUGAUCCACUCACCUUGGCCUCCCAAAGUGCUGGGAUUACAAGCGUGAGCCACCAUGCCCGGCCUAAUUUUUGUAUUUUUUGUAGACAGGGUUUCGCCACAUUGGCCAGGCGGGUCUCAAACUCCUGAGCUCAAGUGAUCUGCUGGCCUCCGCCUCCAAAAGUGCUGAGAUUACAG